Patiria miniata (bat star) is the source of this 2378-nucleotide long non-coding RNA. RefSeq lists it as uncharacterized. The transcript is spliced from 3 exons. The record is from RefSeq and is a predicted model, not a curated record. Lineage: Eukaryota; Metazoa; Echinodermata; Asteroidea; Valvatida; Asterinidae.
AUGCUCCAUACUAGUAUAAAAAGCGUACUGUAGCCUAGCCGAUGACGCGUCAUGAACAUGUUUUUAAUUUGCAUCGAACAUGUCGACAGUGGUGUUUGAAAGCAUGAUUUUGACAUCAAACUAGGACUUUGGAGGGCGUAGUAAAAAGUAUCUGAUGCCUAAGGAACCGGGCCCUACACUACACAAUCACCAUAGACGUAGCUGUAGCUCCGGAAGAGGGGAACCAGCCGUGUCGGUAUUGGUACAGCGAUGGCUAGUAAAACUUAGGGGGGAAAAUAACCAGCUUUUUUUCGCAAAGAUCACCUUUCGAUGAACUACGUGUUUCAUAUGAAUGAACAGAAGAAGUAAAUGAGAAUAGAUGAUUAAAAAUUGGAGGGAGCAUGUUGUGAGUAUAUUUAAACAUAAGUAUACCCAGUCGGUGGUGGUAGAGAUCAUUCAGUUUCAGAAUAUUAAGUUUGGCAAAUAGAGGAGUGGUAUGAUCAAGGUAACCUGCACUAUUUACAAUACGAUCAGCUUUCUUCUGCAACUUAAAAAGUUUGUUGGAGCCAUGUACAGUUGAAGAUCCCCAAAAAGAAAGUAGGCCAUAAUUCAAGUAUGAAAGAAUAAAGGAAUUAUAUAAUGUUAAAAGAAUAUUUUUAGGUACAAAAUUCUUCAGACGAUUCAUAACCCCAACAUUUUUAGAAAUUUUACUACAUAAAACAUCAAUGUGGCAAUUCCAAGUGAGAUUUUUGUUUAUACAAAGUCCAAGAAAUGUAGUAGUCUUGACUUGAUUGAGUACAGUACCAUCAAAGCUAAGAGAAACUGUGGCCUGGUAUUUAUGUUGGCGUGGACAAAAAAUAAUGUAAUUAGUCUUAAGCAAAUUAAUUGAUAAUUUGUUCGAAAUGAGCCAUCUACUUAUUUUAACAAGUUCAACAUUAACAGUUUGGAUGGCUGUAUCCACAUUAUGGUGAUUGUAAAUUAAAGUAGUAUCAUCUGCAAAUAAACAGAAAGACAUGACAUCAGAAGAUCUACAAAUAUCAUUGAUAUAAAUAAUAAAUAGUAAUGGACCUAACACACUUCCUUGAGGGACUCCACAAGUGAUGAACAGUUCUACAGAGUGAUGUAAAUUAUAAGAAACAAACUGCCUUCUAUUUGAUGCAUAACUUCUGAACCAGUCCAAGGCCAACCCUCGGACACCAAAAUGCUCCAAUUUAUUUAAAAGGAUGUCAUGGUUAACAGUGUCGAAGGCCUUGGACAGGUCCAGGAAAAUACCGACAGAAAACUGCUUGUUCUCAAAGGCAUCGAUAAUUUUACUUAACACUAGUACAGGUAGAAAGCUCUCACAACAUACAUUGUGUACGUCAAACAAAAGCGCAUAAAAAGGUUUUAUGAACUGAAAAACUUGUUGAGAGUUAUUUUCUCCACUAGAAUUCUGAUUAUGAAUCUAACCCAUAAGUAUAUUAUUAAAAACACCUUCUGUGCAGGUGACUUGCAAAAUUUAACCCACAAUUAAACUAUAAAAUUUGUCAUCUGAAAACUUGCAUAACUUUGAAUGCGAUUUUCUUGAAGUCUAGUUUUGACGUGAAAUGCUUGUUUUGCUGGUUCGUAAAAACGGCGACGAAAUGAUGUAUUAUCCAUCAUUUAUGUAACUUAAGAUAUGAUCAAUAGUAGUGGUUCAUGAAAUUGACCCUUGUCCAAUUCAUAAUACAGUAAAGGCAUUUUCACUAGAGCAUCCAUCCCCUGUGCGAACUCACCCUGGGCUGCCCCUGGGCUGCCCUGGGUGACUAUCGAUUGUUCACCCUCGAGCUCACCCCGAGUUGUUUCAGACGUGUUUCCCAUAAAACUGUGUUUAAAUUGCAUAAUUAAUACUGAGUUCUUCAUUGCCAAAUUCAGGUAUCUUUUAAACAUCCAAAAUCCACUACAACAUGCAUACUUAUCAUGGACAUGCAUAAAAAAUAUGCAUGUUGAGUCCUGGCCCUAUUUUCACACUUGCUUCAUUGUGUGCACUACAGUCCGUGAAACAUUAUGUCAUAAAUCUGAUAAUCUACGGUAUUUCAUUAGCGUGUAGCAUUUUUGUAAGCAUCCAGAUAUCAGCCAUUCCAUGGUGACUCGCGUGACAUUUGAACAAAAUGUAAAGUUUUAAUGCAUUACUGUUGUUAACCUGGCAUUUAUUCAACUCAAAUUAGCAUGUAUUUGAGUCAGGGCAUUGUGAAUUUAUGGUUUAGUUUUCAUAUGAUUACUUUAAAAUCGCUAUUUUUUUAUGUAUCACAGUUUCUUUGACGUGACUCGCGUGACAGGAUAGAAAAAGGGAUUUUUGACAUCCCUUGAUUCAAAUAGCUUUUCCUAUGGAUCUACCAGUGUUCUAAAAAUUAUUCUUACUGAACUUAGAACUUAAUACC